UACGAGGGGUGCGAGCGUUGCUCGGAAUUAUUGGGCGUAAAGGGUAGGUAGGUGGUUUCGUUUGUCUGGGGUGAAAGCCUUGAGCUUAACUCAAGAAGUGCCCCGGAAACGGCGAAACUCGAGUACUGGAGAGGGUCGUGGAAUUCCCGGUGUAGCGGUGAAAUGCGUAGAGAUCGGGAGGAACACCAGAGGCGAAGGCGGCGACCUGGACAGUUACUGACACUCAACUACGAAAGCGUGGGGAGCAAACAGG
Molecule: ribosomal RNA, 253 nt
Filed under: uncultured bacterium
Lineage: Bacteria
Description: partial 16S ribosomal RNA
Rfam family: Bacterial small subunit ribosomal RNA
Source: RNAcentral